This 523-nucleotide ribosomal RNA is filed under the name uncultured microorganism. Its description in RNAcentral is "bacterial SSU rRNA". It matches the Rfam family "Bacterial small subunit ribosomal RNA", at positions 9 to 514 of the family's 1533-position model. The record is from RNAcentral.
GAGUUUGAUCGUGGCUCAGGAUGAACGCUGGCGGCGUGCCUAAUACAUGCAAGUCGAGCGAACAGACGGGGAGCUUGCUCCCCUGACGUUAGCGGCGGACGGGUGAGUAACACGUGGGUAACCUACCUAUAAGACUGGAAUAACUCCGGGAAACCGGGGCUAAUGCCGGAUAACAUGUUGGACCGCAUGGUCCUACAGUGAAAGACGGUCUUGCUGUCACUUAUAGGUGGACCCGCGCCGUAUUAGCUAGUUGGUAAGGUAACGGCUUACCAAGGCAACGAUACGUAGCCGACCUGAGAGGGUGAUCGGCCACACUGGAACUGAGACACGGUCCAGACUCCUACGGGAGGCAGCAGUAGGGAAUCUUCCGCAAUGGGCGAAAGCCUGACGGAGCAACGCCGCGUGAGUGAUGAAGGCCUCCGGGUCGUAAAACUCUGUUAUUAGGGAAGAACAAAUGUGUAAGUAACUAUGCACGCCUUGACGGUACCUAAUCAGAAAGCCACGGCUAACUACGUGCCAGCCG